RNAcentral lists this long non-coding RNA (4953 nucleotides) under Marmota monax (woodchuck). The record is from RNAcentral. Lineage: Eukaryota; Metazoa; Chordata; Mammalia; Rodentia; Sciuridae.
GCCGAUUAGCACCCUCCCAGUCACUGUAUCAACCCAAAUGUUCCUGUACACUUACUAUUACUCUUAAGGGGUGGUACUACCCUUAUAUUUAAGAAAACUAAAAUGUAAGGGUAGUACCACUUACUGUAUGCCUAUUACUGUAUGCCUAGUGUAUCCCUUUCAGGGAAACACUCCUUGGCCUAGCCAAGUGUUGGAUACCUUCUUGUUGGGUGGCUCUUCUUUUCUAGCUACAGAGAUGAGAAAGCAGGUCACUAUCUGACCCAUACCGGGCCAAAUAAAAUCUUUUCCCAGGUUUUUAAAAACAGACCCAGGGGGUAUGGUUUAGUUCCUUUAUGAGUGGAGAUGUGAGAUCUAGGCUUUUGAUAUACUAGUGGUGGAAAUGUAAGAAAUGUAAAGUUGUCUACUCUUUUGGAAAAUACCAUUACAACUCUUCAAAAUAUUAAGCAUAGAGAUAUUAUGUGUUAUGGUUUGGAUAAGGACUGUCCCCAUAAAUCUCAUGUGAGAUAAUGCAGGAAUGUUCAGAGCUAAAAUGAUUAGAUUAUGAGAAUGUGACCUAAUCAGUGGGAUAACCCAUUUGGUGGAUUAAUAAUUUGAAAGGACCACUGUACUGGGUGGAUGGGUGUGGAUGGAGGAAGUAGGUCCCUGGGGUCAUGUCUUUGAGGAUUAUAUAUCUCUUCCUGGGCUCCUGGGAUCCUGGAGCUGUCUUUCUCUGUUUCCGGUUUCUCAGAGCUGAGCAGCUUUCCUCUACCACACCCUUCCACGGUGACAGUCCACCUCACGUGGGCCCAGAGAGGAGGAAUCAGAUGACUAUAGAUUGAACCUCUGAAACCAAGAUCCUAAAAUAAAUGUUUCCUUUUCUAAGUUGUUCUUGUCAGGCCUAUUAGUCACAGCAAUGAAAAGUGGACCAGCUGGGUGAGGUGAGGAUGCCUGUAAUCCCAGUGGCUCCGGAGGCUGAGGCAGGAAUCAGGAGUUCAAAGCCAGCCUCAGCAAAAGUGAGGCGCUUAGCAACUCAGUGAGAUCCUGUCUCUAAAUACAAAAAAAUAGGACUGGGGAUGUGUCUCAGUUGUUGAGUGCCCCCUAGUUCAAUCCCCAGUACAAAAAAAGAAAAAAAAAAGUAGACUAACUGGGGAUUAACUUUCCUCUACCACACCCUUCCGCCAUGGUGUUCUAUCUCUCUGAGGACCCAAGCAAUGGCUGACCAUGGAUUGAAAUCUCUGAAAUCAUGAGUCACAAUACAUCUAUCCUACUUUAAAUUGUUUGUAUGAGGUAAUCUACUCCUAGGAAUAUGUGUUAAUCAGCUUCUCAUUGCUGUGACAAAUACCUGAGAUAGUCAACUUAUGAGGAGAAAAGGUUGAUGGAGGCUUACAGUUUCAGAGGUUUUAGUCCAUGGUCAGUUGCCCCUGUUGCCUUUGGGCCUGUGGCAAGGUCACAUAUCAUAGUGGUGAACAUGUGAUGGAACAAGCUGCUCUCCUCAUGGUGACUAAAAAGUAAGGAGAGAUGGUAGGGCUGGAUUCCCACUAUUCCCUUUGAGGGCACAGCUCCAGCCUAAAACUUCCCAUUAGGCACCAUCUCUUAAAGGUUAUGCAUCCACCAUCUCCCAAUAGUGUCAACCAGGGAACGAAGCUUUUAACACCUGGGCCUUUGGGGGUCAUUCUAAAUCCAAACUAACUAUAGUAUUAUAUCUCUGAGAAAAAUGAAAACAUAUUGUUAUGGUUUGGAUCUGAAAUGUCCUCCAAAGUCUCAUGAGCUCAGAGGCAGGACUUUGGGGAAGUGAUUAGAUCAUAAGGGCUUUGACCUCACCAGUGGAUUACCACUGAAGGCUGAAUGGACUACCAGGAAGUGGGAACUAACUGGAGGAAGUAGGUCACUGGUGUGUGCCCUGGAGGGGUUUAUCUUAUCUCUGGCCCCUUCCUCUUUUGGUCCACUUCCAGGUGAGCCCUCUGUCAUGCCCGUCUGCCAUGAUGUUCUGCCUCAUCUCAGGUCCAGAGCAAUGGAUCAGUGGGAGCUGGCUGACUGGAGCCUCUGAAACCAUGAGCCAAAAUAAAUCUUUCCUCUUCUGCGUUGUUCUUGUCAGGCAUUUUGAUCACAGUGACAAAAAGCUGACUGAUACACAUUUGUUCACACAAAACCCUGUUUAUGAAUGUUCACAACAGCAUUAUUCAUUACAGCCAAAAAAGUGGAAAGAGCCCAUUAAUCCAUUGACAGGUGAUUGAGAAAACAAAAUGUGGUAUAAACUACUAACACAUGAUGCUACUGUGUGGAUGAAACUUGAAGAAAACAUGGUAGUUGACGGAAGCCAAUCACAAAUGACCAUAUUGUAUGAUUCCACUUGUAUGAAAUGUGCAGAAUAGGUAAAUUCAUAGAGACUAAAAGUAAAUUAUCCCCAGGCUCAGGGACACACACCUGUAAUCCCAGCGACUGGGGACGCUGAAGCAGGAGAAUCCUACUCAAAGCCAACCUCACAACUUAGCAAGACCCUGUUUCAAAAAAUAAAUAAAGGUUGGGAAUGUAGCUCAGUGGUAGAAUGCCCCUGGGUUCAACCCCAGUACUGCAAACACAACAACAAUAAAAAAGAAUGAAGCAAAUUACUGUUGGCUGAGGAGAGGGAGGAAUGAGGAGAGCUUGACAAUGUAUAUGGGUAUUCUCUCCCAUAGUCUGAAGCUUCGUAUUUCCUGAUCUGCUCUUACUUAAUCUUAAUAAAUUCCCAUGUUUUUACUGAAAACUAAACAGGGAACACACACCCACACACAAAGUCUUCAUGGAUUAUAAUUACAAUUUUAGAAAUGAGAAAAGUAUCACAUCCGCUCCCUCCUCCCGCAAUACAGGUGAUUAAACCCAGGGCCUCAUGCAUGCUAGACAAGUGCUUUACCCCUGAUCUACACCCCUGGCCCUUUUUUAAUUUAUCUUGAGACAGGGUCUUGCUAAGUGGCCAAAACUGGCCUUGAACUUACAGUCCUCUUGACUUGGCCUCCCGAGUUGCUGGAAUUAGAGGCAUGCACCACUGUGUGGAGAUAUGCCAUUUUGUACAUGAUUUGACAAACAAAUUUAAUGGUAAAGCAGAUAUGUAUGAACCUGUUCCUUCACUCCAUUCAUCACUGAUCCUGCAUCUACAGAGGGUCUUCACUGUUAUCACUGGGGUGUUUUUUCCACCCCCAAGAGAAGUCAGAAUGAUGAUAUAUAUUUGGUCUGUAUCCCGGGUUCUUCCUCAAACCUUUGCAAGUUUCUAGUAUAGGAAUGUCUUUUGUCAUUCACAAGGAGCCCCUUUUCACCAAGCCUGAAUUUAUGCUAAUGAAGAGAUUCCUGCUAAGCCUUUAGAUAGUUUCAAAGGAGGGAUUGGUCAGCCAGGAAGACCAAGUACAGGUACAGAGGACUGGAGGUCUCAACCCCACACUUCCUUCUCUUGGGAGGGGAGAGGAAGCCAGAGACUGAGUCCAGUUGCCACCAGAGGUGGUCUGAGGAGGUCUCAGAGAGGGAAGUCUUCUGUUUAGGAUGGCAGAGUCCUUGUAGGAAAAAUAAUUUCAAGAUGUGUCAGAUAGGGAGGCACAGAGAUUUAUUUAGGAAAGCAAGGAAUGUACAUUCAAGGGACAAUGCUGGCCAUCUCAAGAGGGAGAGAUACUUGGAUUCUUAGGCUCUUCUUUUAAAUUUUUUUUUUUUUGUACCAGGGCUACUUAACCAUUGAGCCACAUUCCAAGCCCCACCCCCCCUUUGUAUUUUAUUUUGAGACAGGGUCUCCUGAGUUGCUUAGGGUCUCUUUAAGUUGCUGAGGUUGGCUUUGAACUUGCGAUCCUUCCCCCUCAGCCUCACAAGCUGUUGGGAUUACAAGUGUGCACCACCACACCUGGCUCUCAGGCUCUUCUUUGAAAGGAAAGUGGGUGAAGGGUGGCCAUGAGAAUGUAGGUAAGGAUGACAUCAGUCUGGUGAUCAUAAGACGCUUCAUGUUGGUCUGGCAAUUUUCAGGUUCCUUAGGUUGACAUCUUCUCCAUUAUCUGAUCAACAGAUAAUGUUGGGAAAUGUACACUAUGUUAAAGGUUUCAUAUUUCUCUGUGUAAUCUAUUCUAGAAAUAUGUGGGCAAAUUAACAGUGCAAGGUCAGUUUUCAUAAGUGGGUGAAUUUCUAGUACCUUUAAAAUUAUGAAUGAAGAUUUGUGGAUUUCCCAGGUAAUUGGGAGUGGCAGGCCUGUGAGAGAGCACUGGCUUGGGAGGAAAGGUAUGAAGAACUUUAGCACAAAGCUUUCCAACUAAAGUUCUAGUCUCCUUGUCCUUCCUUUUUUCUCCUAUUACCUAUCUCUUAUUUCUUCUGUCCUACCUCACUGUAACAUGUUAAAUGAUUUAAUCAAUCCUGCCUAUAUAAAGAAACCUUGAUUAAAAACUCUUAAGAAGCUUUAGUGGAAUUCCUGACUUGUGAACAUACAAUAUAAAGGGCAGGCAUGGCACACCCAGACUCCAUAGGGGCAGAAGCUGCCACCUCUCCUCUCAGACCUCAUCCUAAUACAUCUUUUCCAUGUGACUGCUUCUUUUUUCUUUUGGUAGCAGGGAUUAAACCUAGAGGCACUUUACACUGAGCUACAUUCCCAACCCUUUUAAUUUAAUUUUCAGAUAGGGUCUCACUAAAUUGCUUAGGUCCUUGCUGAGUUGCUGAGGUUGGCCUCAAACUUGAGAUCCUCCUGCCUCAGCCUCUUGAAUCUCUGGGAUCACAGAUGUGCACUACUGAACUUGGCCCCAUGUGACUAUUUCUAAUUGUAUCCUUUAUAAUAAAAUGGCACUUGCAAGUACAGCACUUUCCUGAGUUCUGUGAAUCACUGUAACAAGUUAUCAAAUUUGGAGGGGAGUUUUGGAAACUUUUGAUUUUGUAGCCACCUUGGAUAGUAAGAAGUGUGGGUGACACCUUGCAUUUAGCAUCUGAGGUGGGGGACGUCUUGUGAAAUUUAGCUCCUAACUGUGGGUGUGUACAAAC